This 253-nucleotide ribosomal RNA is filed under the name uncultured bacterium. RNAcentral's name for it is "partial 16S ribosomal RNA". It matches the Rfam family "Bacterial small subunit ribosomal RNA", at positions 524 to 776 of the family's 1533-position model. The record is from RNAcentral.
UACGUAGGGUGCAAGCGUUAAUCGGAAUUACUGGGCGUAAAGCGUGCGCAGGCGGUUAUGUAAGACAGAUGUGAAAUCCCCGGGCUUAACCUGGGAACCGCAUUUGUGACUGCAUAGCUGGAGUACGGCAGAGGGGGAUGGAAUUCCGCGUGUAGCAGUGAAAUGCGUAGAUAUGCGGAGGAACACCGAUGGCGAAGGCAGUCCCCUGGGCCUGUACUGACGCUCAUGCACGAAAGCGUGGGGAGCAAACAGG